UAAGCAAUUAUACAGCGAAACUGCGAAUGGCUCAUUAUAUAAGUUAUCGUUUAUUUGAUAGUACCUUACUACUUGGAUAACCGUGGUAAUUCUAGAGCUAAUACAUGCUAAAAAUCCCGACUUCGGAAGGGAUGUAUUUAUUAGAUUAAAAACCAAUGCCCUUCGGGGCUCUCUGGUGAUUCAUGAUAACUUCUCGAAUCGCAUGGCCUUGCGCCGGCGAUGGUUCAUUCAAAUUUCUUCCCUAUCAACUUUCGAUGUUUGGGUAUUGGCCAAACAUGGUUGCAACGGGUAACGGAGGGUUAGGGCUCGACCCCGGAGAAGGAGCCUGAGAAACGGCUACUACAUCCAAGGAAGGCAGCAGGCGCGCAAAUUACCCAAUCCCGACUCGGGGAGGUAGUGACAAUAAAUACUGAUACAGGGCUCUUUUGGGUCUUGUAAUUGGAAUGAGUACAAUUUAAAUCCCUUAACGAGGAACAAUUGGAGGGCAAGUCUGGUGCCAGCAGCCGCGGUAAUUCCAGCUCCAAUAGCGUAUAUUAAAGUUGUUGUGGUUAAAAAGCUCGUAGUUGAACCUUGGGCCUGGCUGGCCGGUCCGCCUCACCGCGUGUACUGGUCCGGCCGGGCCUUUCCCUCUGUGGAACCCCAUGCCCUUCACUGGGUGUGGCGGGGAAACAGGACUUUUACUUUGAAAAAAUUAGAGUGCUCCAGGCAGGCCUAUGCUCGAAUACAUUAGCAUGGAAUAAUAGAAUAGGACGUGUGGUUCUAUUUUGUUGGUUUCUAGGACCGCCGUAAUGAUUAAUAGGGACAGUCGGGGGCAUCAGUAUUCAAUUGUCAGAGG
RNAcentral lists this ribosomal RNA (835 nucleotides) under Penicillium sp. CMW3918. RNAcentral describes it as "SSU rRNA". It matches the Rfam family "Eukaryotic small subunit ribosomal RNA", at positions 66 to 911 of the family's 1831-position model. The record is from RNAcentral. Lineage: Eukaryota; Fungi; Ascomycota; Eurotiomycetes; Eurotiales; Aspergillaceae. RNAcentral also lists the same sequence under 1 other name.